Molecule: ribosomal RNA, 484 nt
Filed under: uncultured bacterium
Lineage: Bacteria
Description: partial 16S ribosomal RNA
Rfam family: Bacterial small subunit ribosomal RNA
Source: RNAcentral
AUUGAACGCUGGCGGCAGGCCUAACACAUGCAAGUCGAGCGGAUGAAGGGAGCUUGCUCCUGGAAUCAGCGGCGGACGGGUGAGUAAUGCCUAGGAAUCUGCCUGGUAGUGGGGGAUAACGUCCGGAAACGGGCGCUAAUACCGCAUACGUCCUGAGGGAGAAAGUGGGGGAUCUUCGGACCUCACGCUAUCGGAUGAGCCUAGGUCGGAUUAGCUAGUUGGUGGGGUAAAGGCCUACCAAGGCGACGAUCCGUAACUGGUCUGAGAGGAUGAUCAGUCACACUGGAACUGAGACACGGUCCAGACUCCUACGGGAGGCAGCAGUGGGGAAUAUUGGACAAUGGGCGAAAGCCUGAUCCAGCCAUGCCGCGUGUGUGAAGAAGGUCUUCGGAUUGUAAAGCACUUUAAGUUGGGAGGAAGGGCAGUAAGUUAAUACCUUGCUGUUUUGACGUUACCAACAGAAUAAGCACCGGCUAACUUCGUG